GGAUAGGAACGCCAUCUCCUUCCAAGUUUCUAACCCUUCUCCUUUUCCAAUUUCUCUUCACCAGAAGGGUGAGGGUUUCACCCUUCAAAAGCCUCUCUUUAACUCCAUCCGAUCCAAAAUCAUCUUUAUCUUUCUACCUUUUUCGGAUCUCUUUCCUGAUUUCAUCCCAAAUCGCGUUUUCUUGUCCGAAAUUCGGACAUCGAUCCUUUUCAGCGCUUCUCGCUCUUCAGAUCGGUUUCACUUAUUGUCUUAGCGAUGUUGCUAAUGAGCAGAAAUAAAAGUGCCACAAGAUUCAGAAGUCCUAUGAGAAUUAUGGAGUGUUAUGGGAAGGCGUUCCAUUUUCAUGUGAUUGGUAAUGAGAAUUUGCUCUUAUAGACGCUUACAUGUGAUGUAUAAAUUAUAAGGUGGCUUUCUUUCAGUUGAAAACCUUAUCUUCAAUGAGACUCAGAUUUUCUUAUAUCUAGCUACAUGGAAAGAUGGUAUGAGUAGAAGCUUUUGGAUCACUGAAUAAGUGGAGCUAGUUAUUUUGGUGGACCCAUGGCAGACCAUUCUUUACUUGUUGCAGACCAUUCUUUAGUUCCUGGAGACCAUUCCUUAGUAGUGGAUCAUUCCUUAGUUAUUGGACAAGAGUUUCCUGAUGUUGAAACUUGCCGAAGAACACUAAAAGACAUUGCAAUAGCUUUACACUUCGACCUUCGGAUAGUGAAGUCGGACCGUAGUCGAUUUAUAGCCAAGUGCUCAAAGGAAGGAUGCCCCUGGCGUGUCCACGUGGCAAAGUGUCCAGGUGUUUCAACCUUUUCAAUUAGGACGUUGCAUGGCGAUCAUACUUGUGAAGGAGUUCGCAACCUUCAUCAUCAACAAGCUUCAGUUGGUUGGGUUGCCCGAUCUGUAGAGGCCCGUCUUCGAGAUAAUCCUCAAUACAAACCAAAGGACAUAUUGCAUGACAUCCGUGAACAACAUGGAGUUGCAGUGUCUUACAUGCAAGCUUGGCGUGGAAAAGAACGCAGUAUGGCGGCGGUUCAUGGCACUUUUGAGGAAGGAUAUCGCCUUCUUCCUGCAUACUGCGAGCAAGUCAGGAAAACAAACCCUGGAAGUAUUGCAUCGGUUUCUGCCACAGGGCAAGAGAACUGCUUCCAACGUCUCUUUAUUUCCUACUAUGCAUCAAUUUAUGGCUUUCUAAACGCCUGUCGACCACUUUUGGAACUGGAUAGAGCACAUCUAAAAGGAAAAUACCUUGGGACACUGCUUUGUGCGGCAGCUAUUGAUGCCGAUCAUGAACUAUUUCCGUUGGCAUUUGCCAUUGUUGAUGGGGAAAGCGAUGAGAGUUGGAUGUGGUUUCUGUCGGAGCUGCGGAAACUUCUUGGUGUAAAUACUGAUAGCAUGCCUAGACUUACGAUAAUGUCUGACAGACAAAGGGGCAUUGUGGAAGCAGUUGAAACACACUUUCCAAGUGCUUUUCAUGGAUUUUGUCUGCGUCAUGUAAGCGAAAACUUCCGUGAUGAGUUCAAGAACACAAAACUGGUAAACAUAUUUUGGAAUGCUGUUUAUGCACUGACCGCUGUUGAGUUUGAAGCUAAGAUAGCUGAGAUGGUAGAAAUCUCACAUGAUGUUGUGCAAUGGUUUCAUCGCUUUCCACCUCGGCUUUGGGCCAUAGCAUACUUUGAGGGUGUACGAUAUGGCCACUUUGCUUUGCGUGUCACCGAAUUACUUUAUAACUGGGCCCUUGAAGGCCAUGAACUUCCAAUAGUGCAGAUGAUGGAGCACAUUCGGACUCAAUUGGUAUCUUGGUUUAGUGAGCGGCGUAAUACGGGUAUCGCAUGGACAUCUAUUCUUGUACCAUCUGCUGAGAAAGUUGUUUUAGAAGCUAUUGCAGAUUCUCGUUGUUAUCAAGUGCUUCGUGCAAAUGAGGUGGAAUUUGAAAUCGUAUCAACAGAGAGAACAAAUAUUGUGGAUAUAAGUAGCCGUCAUUGCUCAUGUCGACGUUGGCAACUUUAUGGUUUACCAUGCGCACAUGCUGCUGCUGCACUUCUCUCUUGUGGGCAAAAUGCCCACUUGUUUGCAGAGCAUUGUUUUACAGUUGCAAGCUAUCGCCAAACCUAUUCGCAAAUAAUCCACCCGAUUCCAGAUAAAAGCAUCUGGAAGGAGCUAGCUGGGGGAACAGAAGGUGGAGGUGCCAAAGUCGAUAUCAUAAUACGUCCACCCAAGACCCGUCGACCGCCGGGCCGCCCCAAAAAGAAGGUUGUUCGCAUAGAGAACUUCAAGCGCCCAAAGCGGGUUGUUCAAUGUGGCCGUUGCCAUUUGUUAGGACAUUCUCAGAAGAAAUGCACGCUCCAACUUCAGUGAGAACCUGUGGUUGUUUCGAUCAGUUUUCAAUUGCACAGAGCUAGUUAUGAGUUUGUAAUUUUCAGUAUAAGCUUCAUCAAUUGAUUGAAAUCAAAGGACUCUGUACUUUCCAAAAGUCCAGCUGUUUGUACUUAUAAUGAAGAUUCAGUUUUGCAAUGCUUAAAAGGGAUGGCCCACUGUGUGAUUGUGGUUUUGCCAAUGCUCAUCUUCACAAUGGGGGUUGCCUUAUGCCCCCUUAAGAUGCCCCAUGCAGUUGCCAGAUUGGCAUGCCUGCUACGUGUAAAGACAGGACUUUUGUUAUGAUUUGUAUUGUUGGAACAUUUGACAGUAAACAUAGCUUCAGAUGUGAAUAUGAUUCGUUCUUUGAAGGGACUUGAAGAUGUCUUUCCUGAAUCCUGAUUAUUGUGAGAGUGCAAAGAGGGGGAAGGAAGCAGAAGCUACCUGUUGGCUUGAUCUGAAUAUGAUUUCGCAUUCGUGUUCGGUCUUAAGUAUUCCUUGCUUGAGGUGUGGCCAUUCAUGUUCUUGAAGUUUCUUCCCUAUGAUGUGGAUCCUGUGAAUAGAGAAAUUUGAAGCAGUUCACGUGAAGAGGAUUAAAGGCAAUCUCUAUUGCACAUGUAGCAACCCCAUGAGUGGACCAGUCUGAUCUAUGAGCCAGGGCAUGUUGAAUGUUGGUCCCGGCUGAUGAAUGGCCCGGGUAAUAAACGAUGCCAUGUUUUCUCAAUGUGAAUCUCCUCAGCAGCGUGCUUGAGAAUCGCUGAUCUACUUUCAAGGUCUGAAGUCCAGCUCCCCAAUCAAUUAAGCUCUCAGCAGAAGCAGGAGAUAAUGUGUAUUGCAGAGUCCUGUGUAUUGCAGAGGCCCAAAAGCUAGAAUCAGAGGUGGAGUUAAGAAGAUCGUCGUGCCAGUGAGCUACACAGAGUAAGAAUGAGCCUUGAAGAUAUCUACCUGUGAGAAGUAUGCUUUCAUUUGCUGCUCGCUCAAUCCUUUUAAAUUUUCAGGUGAAUUCUGGGCAGUGGAUGGUCUAUGGAGUUUGUCAUACUUCCUUUAGGGCAUGUUUGGAUCACAUCAAAUCACAGUAAUGUAGUGUAAUGGGUAGUAAAAAGUUAGUAUUUUCCAUGCGAACAGAGGAGGUGGUCCCAGAUCUCCCAGAUCUAUUAGUAGAAUCCAGCUCACUGAAGCUGAUCAGAUGUCCGUCACCCAUAUCUAGCAAAUAAGAUGCUGCCAGGUGUCAAGUAUUGUAUGUUUUCAUUCAUUUUAGUUUUUUUUCCCUUUCAAAAUUAGCGGAAACUGCGAUUUGACCUUUUCUUUGGUAUUUAGUUAUUUAUUUUUUGUAUUUUGGAGCAGAAAUGAAUCAGUAAAUGUCAUUAUAAUAUCUUGAUA
RNA transcript from Magnolia sinica, 3720 nucleotides. RefSeq lists it as uncharacterized. The transcript is spliced from 5 exons. The record is from RefSeq and is a predicted model, not a curated record. Lineage: Eukaryota; Viridiplantae; Streptophyta; Magnoliopsida; Magnoliales; Magnoliaceae.